RNAcentral lists this unclassified non-coding RNA (331 nucleotides) under soil metagenome. RNAcentral describes it as "partial contains 5.8S ribosomal RNA, internal transcribed spacer 2, and large subunit ribosomal RNA". The stretch from base 1 to 120 matches the Rfam family "5.8S ribosomal RNA", at positions 35 to 154 of the family's 154-position model. The record is from RNAcentral.
GAUGAAGAACGUAGCGAAAUGCGAUAAGUAAUGUGAAUUGCAGAAUUCAGUGAAUCAUCGAAUCUUUGAACGCACAUUGCGCCCCCUGGUAUUCCGGGGGGCAUGCCUGUUCGAGCGUCAUUUCACCACUCAAGCCUCGCUUGGUAUUGGGCAACGCGGUCCGCCGCGUGCCUCAAAUCGUCCGGCUGGGUCUUCUGUCCCCUAAGCGUUGUGGAAACUAUUCGCUAAAGGGUGUUCGGGAGGCUACGCCGUAAAACAACCCCAUUUCUAAGGUUGACUUCGGAUCAGGUAGGGAUACCCGCUGAACUUAAGCAUAUCAAUAAGCGGAGGA